RNAcentral lists this ribosomal RNA (253 nucleotides) under uncultured bacterium. RNAcentral describes it as "partial 16S ribosomal RNA". It matches the Rfam family "Bacterial small subunit ribosomal RNA", at positions 524 to 776 of the family's 1533-position model. The record is from RNAcentral.
UACAGAGGGUGCGAGCGUUAAUCGGAAUUACUGGGCGUAAAGCGCACGUAGUCGGCUUUGCAAGUCGGUUGUGAAAUCCCCGGGCUCAACCUGGGAACUGCAUCCGAGACUGCAUUGCUAGAGUAUGGGAGAGGGAAGCGGAAUUUCUGGUGUAGCAGUGAAAUGCGUAGAUAUCAGAAGGAACAUCAGUGGCGAAGGCGGCUUCCUGGACCAAUACUGACGAUCAGGUGCGAAAGCGUGGGGAGCAAACAGG